AGGGUUCGGCCCUCGGCUGACGGCUCAGUAACACGUGGAUAAUCUGCCCUUAGGUGGAGGAUAAUCUCGGGAAACUGAGGAUAAUACUCCAUAGAUCUAGGAUGCUGGAAUGCAUCUAGAUUGAAAGCUCCGGCGCCUAAGGAUGAGUCGGCGGACUAUCAGGUUGUAGUCAGGAUAAAGACCUGACUAGCCUACGACGGAUACGGGUUGUGAGAGCAAUAACCCGGAGACGAUAUCUGAGACACGAUAUCGGGCCCUACGGGGCGCAGCAGGCGCGAAAACUUCACACUGUGCGAAAGCGCGAUGAGGGAAUCCCAAGUGUUUGCUCGUAAGAGUAAACUGUUUCUUUGUUUAAAACGCAGGGAGAGUAAGGGCUGGGUAAGACGGGUGCCAGCCGCCGCGGUAAUACCUGCAGCUCGAGUGGUGAUCAUUAUUAUUGGGCCUAAAACGUCCGUAGCCGGUUUAGUAAAUGCCUGGGUAAAUCGUGUAGCUUAACUAUACGACUUCCGGGUAGACUGCUAAACUUGAGACCGGGAGAGGCUAGAGGUACUCCUGGGGUAGAGGUGAAAUUCUGUAAUCCUAGGGGGACCACCAGUGGCGAAGGCGUCUAGCUAGAACGGGUCUGACGGUGAGGGACGAAGCCCUGGGGCACAAACCGGAUUAGAUACC
Molecule: ribosomal RNA, 669 nt
Filed under: uncultured archaeon
Lineage: Archaea
Description: bacterial SSU rRNA
Rfam family: Archaeal small subunit ribosomal RNA
Source: RNAcentral